GACGAACGCUGGCGGCAUGCUUAACACAUGCAAGUCGAACGAGACCUUCGGGCCUAGGUGCGCACGGGGGCGGAAGGCGGGGGAACCUGCCCUUAGGUUCGCUAUAACUGCCCGAAAGGGGUGCUAAUACCGGAUAAUGUCUUAGGGCCUAAGAUUUAUCGCCGUGGGCUGGGCCCGCGUUGGAUUAGCUAGUUGGUAGGGUAAAAGCCUACCAAGAGGACGAUCCAUAGCUGGUCUGUGAGGAUGACCAGCCACACUGAGACUGAGCCACGGCCCAGACUCCUGCGGGAGGCAGGAGUAGGGCAUAUUGGACGGUGGGCGAAUGCGGUCCAGCCGUGCCGCGUAGGUGGUGAAGGCCUUAGGGUUGUAAUGCUCUUUUACCCGAAGUGAUAAUGACGGUACCGGGAGAAUAAGCACCGGCUAACUCCGUG
RNAcentral lists this ribosomal RNA (431 nucleotides) under uncultured bacterium. RNAcentral's name for it is "partial 16S ribosomal RNA". It matches the Rfam family "Bacterial small subunit ribosomal RNA", at positions 28 to 507 of the family's 1533-position model. The record is from RNAcentral.